This 1424-nucleotide long non-coding RNA is filed under the name Oncorhynchus mykiss (rainbow trout). RNAcentral's name for it is "lncRNA (ENSOMYG00000048708.1)". Lineage: Eukaryota; Metazoa; Chordata; Actinopteri; Salmoniformes; Salmonidae. The record is from RNAcentral.
AGUGUAUAUGUAGUGUAUAUUCCAGUAUGGGGUAGUGUAUUUGUAGUGUAUAUUUCAGUAUGGGGUAGUGUAUAUGUAGUGUGUAUUCCAGUAUGGACUAGUGUAUAUGUAGUGUGUAUUCCAGAAUGGCGUAUUUGUAGUGUAUAUUUCAGUAUGGACUAGUGUAUAUGUAGUGUGUAUUCCAGUAUGGACUUGUGUAUAUGUAGUGUGUAUUCCAGAAUGGCGUAUUUGUAGUGUAUAUUCCAGUAUGGACUGGUGUAUAUGUAGCUGUGUAUUCCAGUUUGGGCUAGUUUAUAUGUAGUGUGUUCCAGUAUGGGCAUUAUAUAGAUUUUUCCUUCUUCCCUCAGCGUGCUCAGUAUGCUUGCCAGCUUCGUCUAGACGUCUGUGUUUAUGCUUGACGAUGUGUGUAAGGAUGAAUCAUGUUUAGAGUGUGCAGGUGGCAGGAAUUUAGAUAGAGGGAGUUAUAUAUAGAGAGGAGAGGGAGUUAUAUAUAGAGAGAAGAGGGAGUUAUAUAGAGAGAGGAGAGGGAGUUAUAUAUAGCGAGAGGAGAGGGAGUUAUAUAUAGAGAGGAGAGGGAGUUAUAUAGAGAGAGGAGAGGGAGUUAUAUAUAGAGAGAGGAGAGGGAGUUAUAUAGAGAGAGGAGAGGGAGUUAUAUAUAGAGAGGAGAGGGAGUUAUAUAUAGAGAGGAGAGGGAGUUAUAUAGAGAGAGGAGAGGGAGUUAUAUAGAGAGAGGAGAGGGAGUUAUAUAGAGAGAGGAGAGGGAGUUAUAUAGAGAGAGGAGAGGGAGUUAUAUAUAUUUAUAGAGAGAGGAGAGGGAGUUAUAUAUAUAUAGAGAGAGAGAGGAGAGGGAGUUAUAUAUAGAGAGAGGAGAGGGAGUUAUAAAGAGAGAGAGGAGAGGGAGUUAGCUAGAGAGGAGCGGGAGGGAGAGAGGAGAGGGAGUUAUAUCGAGAGGAGGAGGUAGAGAGGAGAGGGAGUUGUAGAGAGGAGAGGGAGGAAGAGAGGAGAGGGAGUUAUAUAUAGAGAGAGAGGUAGAGAGGAGAGGGAGUUAUAUAGAGAGAGGAGAGGGAGUUAUAUAUAGAGAGGAGAGGGAGUUAUAUAUAGAGAGGAGAGGGAGUUAUAUAGAGAGAGGAGAGGGAGUUAUGUAGAGAGAGGAGAGGGAGUUAUAUAGAGAGAGGGAGGUAGAGAGGAGAGGGAGUUAUAUAUAUAGAGAGAGGUAGAGAGGAGAGGGAGUUAUAUAUAGAGAGGGAGGUAGAGAGGAGAGGCAGUUAUCUAGAGAGAAGGUAGAGAGGAGAGGGAGUUGUACAGAGAGAGGAGAUUGAGUUAUAUAGAGAGGAGGUAGAGAGGAGAAGGAGUUCUAUAGCGAGAGCGGGGAGAGUGAGAGGAGAGAGAGGAGAGGCAGGAAGAGAGAGAGGAGAGGGAGGAAG